CUCCUGAUCCAUCCUUAGUCAAAGGUUCCCAUAUCAGUUGUCAGAAUGAUACAGUUUAGUCUGUCAGAAUUAACUUUGUGUAUAUAUUUCCUUCUUUUUCCAGGGCGAUAUGAUCUCAGAUUGCCUCAGAUUAGAUGCAAAGCAUGUGAAGCCACUUGGAGUCCUGGAGUGGAUGACCUGAUCCGUAAUGACUACUGGCCUGCCACUUCUCACUAUUCAACUGUGUAUGCAACAGAUGUCCUUUUUUUCUUUUGAAGAGCUGAAGAUGGCAGCACCAGGGAUGUCUAGCCAAGCAUUUCUUAGAAUGCUGGAUCAACGCACUGUUCGCUUUGGCCGUAGCGGAAACAUCACAGCAGACAGCUUCCGGAAAAGCUUUUUUUGGAGUGGGAAGCUGUCCGAUUCGAAGUGGACAAAUUAUGCCAGGAGGACCACUUUGACUGCCCAGCGUGCAGCCCAGACAUGCUUGCAGUAUCCGUUGAUGGAAACCGUAAGCACUACAGAUUCAAGAGUGCAGCAAGGUACUGUGUGUGCAUUGACGGUCCAUUACUUUGAAAGUAACUGCUGUGAAUUGAAAAAUCAUAUGAAUAUUUAAAGUUAAUAUGUAUCUCUUUUAUUUAGAUCGGAGGAAAAAGCCAUCUUUGAUGGCGUGUUCAUCGCAAAUGAUGAUGAUGUAGCAAGAUUCGUUGACUAUGUCCAUACCUCAACCAGUCAUGUAAACUUGCACAACUUCUCUAUAUUUACCUAUAAAACACCACGUCCUACAGAGGACUUUGUUUGAACAAGUUUGGACUGUUAAACAUCUUCCAUGUUUUAGGUCUCUGGAAGAGGUGUCUGUGGAGGGCAAUGGUCAGCGGCACGUGAAACGUCUCAGAAGUCCUCAGGAAAAAAACAGACGAGGAGGGCCUGGAGCUCGCUGUAUGUCGUCAUGGGGUUCUCCUUCGUGCCCUCAAUAUGUUCAGGGGGAGAUUUUUUUGCCUACCCCCUGUACCUCCGAAAAGCAAAUGGCCUGUAAGCCAGUUAAAUUUUUUGCAAUGGAUGUGGCAUGCAAGUACUGGCCUUACCUCCAGAGAGUGACAGAGAAAUGCCCUGAGCUUGAGGAUCUCCUCACCAUGAGGCCAUUUCUUUCUGUUUUUCAUGCCAAAGCUCAUGAUUUCAAAUGUGAGGUAAGAAAAAAUUAUUGUCCAUGACAUUUUCUUUCCCUAAAAUCCUGCAUAAGAUUGUUGCCAUUUAGGUUUAGUUUUUUUUGUUUUCUUUUUUAAAGGUAAAAUGGAGUGGAGCAUAUCAGGAGGGGGCUGGUUCGACUCUUGGGGAAGAGGUGGAGCAGUGCAACGCCUUCCUCUCGAGGAUUGCUGUUACGACAAAGCACAUGUCAAAAGCAGGUAAGGUAACCAGUAAAUUUUGAUCCUGAUGACAUGGGUGAGCCACUUUGAGCUUAUGCAUAUAUGCUGACUCUGAAAAUAUAAAGAUCAGAAUAUAUUAAACACAAAUGGAUGGGUUGAUUACAAUAACAUCAUCCUAUUUUAUUUGACGUGAGGAUAAUAAGGAAGGGCAGUGCGAUAUAAAAAAAACACAUCAGAGUACCAUUCACCUACUGUCCUGCCAUAGUGCUCCAUGCCAUUUUAAUACUGUCCUGCGCCACUGUGUCAUGCUAUUUCUUCACUAUCCUGUGCUAUUUACCUAACCCUUUCAUGGGACAGUAAUCAAAUGGCACAAGACAGCAGAUUAGUACCAUAGUACUGUACUGUAAGUUAUUAUCUCUGAAAAGUUUGUGAUUCAAGUCUGCACAGUUUCUUCUCCUACUGCUACUGGAAAGAAGGGUGAUAAUCUCAUAUUUUUUAUUUUUGCAGGACGCAUAGACAUGCUGACGAUCAUGGCCAUGCGCUGGAACCAACAAAAGUUUGACAACUUGGCUUCUACCCUUGCCCGCCGAUAUCGGAAGGUAAAGACACCAGGUUUUCCCUUAUGCAAAAAUGCAUAGCUAUAUUGUAAAAUAAAGCAAAUAAAUGGCAUAUAUCACAAAAAUAUAGAGAACACUUGCCCAGAUAUUCUUUAAUAUAUAUUAAAUAUAUGGAUGGUUGCAUGUGUAGUGUCAAUUGUAUUUUUUAGUGUCUUGAUAUAAAAUAUUACAUGUUCAUACCACAUAUAUUGAUAGUCCACGUAUAUACGAAUAUACUGUAUAUUUAAUUAGUGUUGUAUGUGGUUUUCUAAUAGUGAAGGUACUUCACAAUCCUUAUCAACAAUAGUCAAAGUGGUAGGCGUUUUUCCUCAUUGUCAUUUAUGUUUGAAGGCCACAAUAGCCCUGCAAUGCCAGUUGCAUAACCUGGAGGCCAUGAAAACGGAAAUGGACGUCUCAGACAAUCAACUGGAGAGGUGGAUCACUGAUAUCAAUGAGUGGGCAGAAGGUAGGAUAUACUGUUUUAUACUGUUUGAUAUGGUGCU
Long non-coding RNA from Cyprinus carpio carpio, 2439 nucleotides. Lineage: Eukaryota; Metazoa; Chordata; Actinopteri; Cypriniformes; Cyprinidae. The record is from Ensembl.